UGGUAGCCUUUUGUUGCAACUUUUGGA
RNAcentral lists this non-coding RNA (27 nucleotides) under Mus musculus (house mouse). Lineage: Eukaryota; Metazoa; Chordata; Mammalia; Rodentia; Muridae. The record is from RNAcentral.